This 338-nucleotide unclassified non-coding RNA is filed under the name soil metagenome. RNAcentral describes it as "partial contains 5.8S ribosomal RNA, internal transcribed spacer 2, and large subunit ribosomal RNA". The stretch from base 1 to 119 matches the Rfam family "5.8S ribosomal RNA", at positions 35 to 154 of the family's 154-position model. The record is from RNAcentral.
GAUGAAGAACGUAGCGAAAUGCGAUACGUAAUGUGAAUUGCAAAUUCAGUGAAUCAUCGAGUCUUUGAACGCACAUUUCGCCCCUCGGUAUUCCGUGGGGCAUGCCUGUUCGAGCGUCAUUUAACCCCUCAAGCCUAGCUUGGUAUUGGGUGCUUGUCCCGCCUCUCGCGCGGCGACUCACCUCAAAGUCAUUGGCAGCCCGCAUCUCGCCGGCCGUGAGCGCAGCACAGACGCGCUCUUGGCAACGACGGAUCGGCUCUCCAAAAGCUUAUUUCAACCACUGACCUCGGAUCAGGUAGGGAUACCCGCUGAACUUAAGCAUAUCAAUAAGCGGAGGA